CAUCACGUCUAAACACCGGUUCCCGUACGAUCAUCGAAGUUAAGCAAUAUCUAGCCUAGUCAGUACCUAGAUGGGUGACUGUUUGGGAAUACCAGGUGCUGUAAG
Molecule: non-coding RNA, 105 nt
Organism: Acanthosepion pharaonis
Lineage: Eukaryota; Metazoa; Mollusca; Cephalopoda; Sepiida; Sepiidae
Source: the annotation of a GenBank genome assembly